CCGGACCGCACGCCGAAUCCUGCCCCCGGUUCCGGUGACCCCUCCAGCGAGCAGCCGGGGCAGGAGCGGGGGAACCACGUUCCUCCGGGUGCCGCCACGUCCCAGCGGCACCCUUGGGGUGAAGCCGUGCACCGUGGAUCGUCCACGUGCCGGCCGGGCACCCAGCCCGAACCCGACAGCUCACCUCGCAGGCGUCUGGGAAAGGGCUC
Molecule: small RNA, 209 nt
Filed under: Frankia sp.
Lineage: Bacteria; Bacillati; Actinomycetota; Actinomycetes; Frankiales; Frankiaceae
Description: c-di-AMP sequence
Rfam family: c-di-AMP riboswitch aptamer (ydaO/yuaA leader)
About the family: This family represents a conserved RNA structure found upstream of the ydaO and yuaA genes in Bacillus subtilis and related genes in other bacteria.
Source: RNAcentral